Molecule: ribosomal RNA, 2461 nt
Filed under: Escherichia coli
Lineage: Bacteria; Pseudomonadati; Pseudomonadota; Gammaproteobacteria; Enterobacterales; Enterobacteriaceae
Description: partial 23S ribosomal RNA
Rfam family: Bacterial large subunit ribosomal RNA
Source: RNAcentral
GGCGCGCGAUACAGGGUGACAGCCCCGUACACAAAAAUGCACAUACUGUGAGCUCGAUGAGUAGGGCGGGACACGUGGUAUCCUGUCUGAAUAUGGGGGGACCAUCCUCCAAGGCUAAAUACUCCUGACUGACCGAUAGUGAACCAGUACCGUGAGGGAAAGGCGAAAAGAACCCCGGCGAGGGGAGUGAAAAAGAACCUGAAACCGUGUACGUACAAGCAGUGGGAGCACGCUUAGGCGUGUGACUGCGUACCUUUUGUAUAAUGGGUCAGCGACUUAUAUUCUGUAGCAAGGUUAACCGAAUAGGGGAGCCGAAGGGAAACCGAGUCUUAACUGGGCGUUAAGUUGCAGGGUAUAGACCCGAAACCCGGUGAUCUAGCCAUGGGCAGGUUGAAGGUUGGGUAACACUAACUGGAGGACCGAACCGACUAAUGUUGAAAAAUUAGCGGAUGACUUGUGGCUGGGGGUGAAAGGCCAAUCAAACCGGGAGAUAGCUGGUUCUCCCCGAAAGCUAUUUAGGUAGCGCCUCGUGAAUUCAUCUCCGGGGGUAGAGCACUGUUUCGGCAAGGGGGUCAUCCCGACUUACCAACCCGAUGCAAACUGCGAAUACCGGAGAAUGUUAUCACGGGAGACACACGGCGGGUGCUAACGUCCGUCGUGAAGAGGGAAACAACCCAGACCGCCAGCUAAGGUCCCAAAGUCAUGGUUAAGUGGGAAACGAUGUGGGAAGGCCCAGACAGCCAGGAUGUUGGCUUAGAAGCAGCCAUCAUUUAAAGAAAGCGUAAUAGCUCACUGGUCGAGUCGGCCUGCGCGGAAGAUGUAACGGGGCUAAACCAUGCACCGAAGCUGCGGCAGCGACGCUUAUGCGUUGUUGGGUAGGGGAGCGUUCUGUAAGCCUGUGAAGGUGUGCUGUGAGGCAUGCUGGAGGUAUCAGAAGUGCGAAUGCUGACAUAAGUAACGAUAAAGCGGGUGAAAAGCCCGCUCGCCGGAAGACCAAGGGUUCCUGUCCAACGUUAAUCGGGGCAGGGUGAGUCGACCCCUAAGGCGAGGCCGAAAGGCGUAGUCGAUGGGAAACAGGUUAAUAUUCCUGUACUUGGUGUUACUGCGAAGGGGGGACGGAGAAGGCUAUGUUGGCCGGGCGACGGUUGUCCCGGUUUAAGCGUGUAGGCUGGUUUUCCAGGCAAAUCCGGAAAAUCAAGGCUGAGGCGUGAUGACGAGGCACUACGGUGCUGAAGCAACAAAUGCCCUGCUUCCAGGAAAAGCCUCUAAGCAUCAGGUAACAUCAAAUCGUACCCCAAACCGACACAGGUGGUCAGGUAGAGAAUACCAAGGCGCUUGAGAGAACUCGGGUGAAGGAACUAGGCAAAAUGGUGCCGUAACUUCGGGAGAAGGCACGCUGAUAUGUAGGUGAAGUCCCUCGCGGAUGGAGCUGAAAUCAGUCGAAGAUACCAGCUGGCUGCAACUGUUUAUUAAAAACACAGCACUGUGCAAACACGAAAGUGGACGUAUACGGUGUGACGCCUGCCCGGUGCCGGAAGGUUAAUUGAUGGGGUCAGCGCAAGCGAAGCUCUUGAUCGAAGCCCCGGUAAACGGCGGCCGUAACUAUAACGGUCCUAAGGUAGCGAAAUUCCUUGUCGGGUAAGUUCCGACCUGCACGAAUGGCGUAAUGAUGGCCAGGCUGUCUCCACCCGAGACUCAGUGAAAUUGAACUCGCUGUGAAGAUGCAGUGUACCCGCGGCAAGACGGAAAGACCCCGUGAACCUUUACUAUAGCUUGACACUGAACAUUGAGCCUUGAUGUGUAGGAUAGGUGGGAGGCUUAGAAGUGUGGACGCCAGUCUGCAUGGAGCCGACCUUGAAAUACCACCCUUUAAUGUUUGAUGUUCUAACGUUGACCCGUAAUCCGGGUUGCGGACAGUGUCUGGUGGGUAGUUUGACUGGGGCGGUCUCCUCCUAAAGAGUAACGGAGGAGCACGAAGGUUGGCUAAUCCUGGUCGGACAUCAGGAGGUUAGUGCAAUGGCAUAAGCCAGCUUGACUGCGAGCGUGACGGCGCGAGCAGGUGCGAAAGCAGGUCAUAGUGAUCCGGUGGUUCUGAAUGGAAGGGCCAUCGCUCAACGGAUAAAAGGUACUCCGGGGAUAACAGGCUGAUACCGCCCAAGAGUUCAUAUCGACGGCGGUGUUUGGCACCUCGAUGUCGGCUCAUCACAUCCUGGGGCUGAAGUAGGUCCCAAGGGUAUGGCUGUUCGCCAUUUAAAGUGGUACGCGAGCUGGGUUUAGAACGUCGUGAGACAGUUCGGUCCCUAUCUGCCGUGGGCGCUGGAGAACUGAGGGGGGCUGCUCCUAGUACGAGAGGACCGGAGUGGACGCAUCACUGGUGUUCGGGUUGUCAUGCCAAUGGCACUGCCCGGUAGCUAAAUGCGGAAGAGAUAAGUGCUGAAAGCAUCUAAGCACGAAACUUGCC